GCGCAGCAGGCGCGAAACUUCACACUGUGCGAAAGCACGAUGAGGGAAUCCCAAGUGCUUGCACGUAAGUGUAAGCUGUUUCUCUGUUUAAACGCAGAGAGAGUAAGGGCUGGGUAAGACGGGUGCCAGCCGCCGCGGUAAUACCUGCAGCUCAAGUGGUGACCGUUAUUAUUGGGCCUAAAACGUCCGUAGCCGGUUUAAUAAAUGCCUGGGUAAAUCGUGUAGCUUAACUAUACGAAUUCCGGGUAGACUGUUAAACUCGAGACCGGGAGAAGUUAGAGGUACUCCUGGGGUAGAGGUGAAAUUCUGUAAUCCUAGGGGGACCACCAGUGGUGAAGGCGUCUAACUAGAACGGGUCUGACGGUGAGGGACGAAGCCCUGGGGCGCAAACGGGAUUAGAACCCCUGUAGU
RNAcentral lists this ribosomal RNA (411 nucleotides) under uncultured microorganism. RNAcentral's name for it is "bacterial SSU rRNA". It matches the Rfam family "Archaeal small subunit ribosomal RNA", at positions 330 to 745 of the family's 1478-position model. The record is from RNAcentral.